Molecule: transfer RNA, 72 nt
Filed under: Camelus ferus (Wild Bactrian camel)
Lineage: Eukaryota; Metazoa; Chordata; Mammalia; Artiodactyla; Camelidae
Rfam family: tRNA
About the family: Transfer RNA (tRNA) molecules are approximately 80 nucleotides in length. Their secondary structure includes four short double-helical elements and three loops (D, anti-codon, and T loops). Further hydrogen bonds mediate the characteristic L-shaped molecular structure. tRNAs have two regions of fundamental functional importance: the anti-codon, which is responsible for specific mRNA codon recognition, and the 3' end, to which the tRNAs corresponding amino acid is attached (by aminoacyl-tRNA synthetases). tRNAs cope with the degeneracy of the genetic code in two manners: having more than one tRNA (with a specific anti-codon) for a particular amino acid; and 'wobble' base-pairing, i.e. permitting non-standard base-pairing at the 3rd anti-codon position.
Source: Rfam by way of RNAcentral
UGGGUAAUAGCUCAGUGGUAGAGCAUAUGCUUAGCAUGCAUGAGGUCCUGGGUUCACUCCUCUGUACCUCCA